GGCACCCUUCUGAUAUACAUUCACCUUGCCAGCAACCAGAACCCCUGUGUUCCUUUCCCUGGGGCAGCUUUCCAGCCUCUCAUACCCCAUAUCUACAUAUAUGCACAGCAGCCUCAUCCCAGGGUUUCUCUGUUGCUGAGGGAGUGAACCGUUCCUCCCAACCUAGCUGUAGGAGAAGGAUAUUUUAAAUGCAGAGAAUUCAGGAUGUUGUCUCCAUCAAGAAACCAGGAAGGUAAAGGUCAUACCUCCGUCAUUGUCUUGUGGCACACCCACGAAGCUAUGGCAUAUAAGUAGGAUGUGGUUUGAAAUUAAAGCUUCUUUGGCAGAGUGUGAUCUGUUGCCCAUA
Gallus gallus (chicken) is the source of this 346-nucleotide long non-coding RNA. RefSeq lists it as uncharacterized. The transcript has 2 exons. The record is from RefSeq and is a predicted model, not a curated record. NCBI's taxonomy places the organism in Eukaryota, Metazoa, Chordata, Aves, Galliformes, Phasianidae.